RNAcentral lists this transfer RNA (93 nucleotides) under compost metagenome. Its description in RNAcentral is "tRNA-Glu". The record is from RNAcentral.
UCGCCAGCGUGCUGGGCGUGCUGGCCGCCGCCCUCGUCGGUCGCUGGAUGGCCGAGCCGGCAGGCCGCGCGGUUCAGGCCGCGUCCGGCGAGC